CUAGGGCCCCGGCAGAGGGCAGCAGGAGACCGCGAUGAGCGCGGGGAACCGGUCUUCAGGAAUCAUUAAACUUCAGACUUUAAGAAUAUGUUUGGGAUUAUGGAGCCUCAGUCCUCCUUUUACAGAUGAGACAUUGAAAUCCUUAGAGUAGAAGCCAGCAAGAGAAUGCACGUCUUAUGACUCCUUGACCAGCUCAUUACCACAAGGGUCUGUGGCAAGGAACUGGAUACUUAGCCUGGCAAAUUUGCUGAUUCCAGACCUGAUAUGAUCCUGGAUUCUCAUGGUAGUUAGACUGCCACCAUCAGCAGGAUAGAGUUGGCUAAGCGAAACGCCAUUGUA
Orcinus orca (killer whale) is the source of this 339-nucleotide long non-coding RNA. RefSeq lists it as uncharacterized. The transcript has 3 exons. NCBI's taxonomy places the organism in Eukaryota, Metazoa, Chordata, Mammalia, Artiodactyla, Delphinidae. The record is from RefSeq and is a predicted model, not a curated record.